UGAACGCUUUCCUCUCCUUUCACUUCCUCUCAUUUCGUCUCAGAAAUCGUCAGAUUCGCUGAAGUUUUGGCCUUAACUCUCUCUCUCUCUCUCUCUCUAUAUAUAUAUAUAUAUAUUGGUAUGUGGGCUGACAGAAGAGAGUGAGCACACAGCGGCGAUUGCAUCGAUCUGAUGCCUUAUCUGUUGCGUGCUCACUUCUCUCUCUGUCAGCUCUCUCUGUCCCUCAAAGCAUGUAGCGCUGAAGGCUGAUAAUAUCUUUGAUGGACUGGAAAGCCGGGUGUGCAGGUGAACAUCGUGUCUCUCUGGAGAGAUGGCCACGAGGGUGUAGAGUUCAUGUCUGUCUUUUCCCUGUGGAUUCUCACUGUUAUUUUAUCUCGUCUGCUGGAUUUUCUGCAUAUAUACGACUCUUUUUCUUGCUCUCUCUGGACGUCUCUGCAUUUGUACUCUGUGAGACGUCUCGUCUGGCGCGGACACCCACGGAGAGAGGUGGAUUUCCGAGGCAAAGAGAUAGUACUGGUCGCAUGGACUAUUAUGUCCACUGAAUCGAGAUGGAAAAUCCAAGAGGAGAAGGAACACAUAAUAAUGAUUAAGGCGUGGUGGUGCAGAGAGGAAGCGUGACUUUUGAGGAUGGAUCUGUUAACGGGUAUCACUGUUUGACUGGUCCCAUCUCUUUCUGUUCCUUCUUUCUCCCCCUCAUCUUCUUCUAUCUUCCCCACUUGCCGAACAACAAGUUCUUAUACAGAUCUAUCCUUGUCGAAACCAUGGAGAAAAAUCAUCAUCGUAUGAGAUCUCCAGACUCAGUUGUACCGAAGUUUGUCUUGCUUCAUGGCUGAAGAUGGAUCUUGAACUCUUUUAAGUUUCAGAAGGCACAUAAAGAAGUAGAGCCUAGCAGAUCUGCGUUGCACCUGAGGGUAGUUUUCUUUCCCUUCUCUUACCAUAGCGUUUACGAUAAGUUUAUUGUCGCAGUAGUUUCCUAUUUCAUGGAUUGUUUCUCGCUCUACACUAGGCAUGGCUGCUGUUCCUUCUGGUCCAUACGUAUCAUAGACGGGUAGAUCUGUGUCUAGUGCUUUUACUCAUCUUUGGAUCUAUGUGGUUUCUCAUCUUAUCUUUUAUCUACAACUGCAGCUAAAUGUUUUGCCUUACAUAUUCCAUGAAUCUGCCUAUUUCUUUCACCAAAGUAUUGUUUUGUGAUUUCUCAUCUUAUCUUUUAUCUACCACUGCAGCUAAAUGUUUUGCCUUACAUAUUCCAUGAAUCUGCCUAUUUCAUUCACCAGAGUAUUGUUUUGUGAUUUCUCAUCUUAUCUUUUAUCUACAACUGCAGCUAAAUGUUUUCCCUCACAUAUUCCAUGAAUCGGCCUAUUUCUCUCACCAGAGUAUUGUUUUGUGAUUUCUCAUCUUAUCUUUUAUCUACAACUGCAGCUAAAUGUUUUGCCUUACAUAUUCCAUGAAUCUGCCUAUUUCUUCACCAGAAUAUUGUUUUGUGAUUUCUCAUCUUGUCUUUUAUCUACAACUGCAGUUAAAUGUUUUGCCUCACAUAUUCCAUGAAUCUGCCUAUUUCAUUCACCAGAGUAUUGUUUUGUGAUUUCUCAUCUUAUCUUUUAUCUGCAACUGCAGCUAAAUGUUUUGCCUCACAUAUUCCAUGAAUCGGCCUAUUUCUCUCACCAGAGUAUUGUUUUGUGAUUUCUCAUCUUAUCUUUUAUCUACAACUGCAGCUAAAUGUUUUGCCUUACAUAUUCCAUGAAUCUGCCUAUUUCUUCACCAGAAUAUUGUUUUGUGAUUUCUCAUCUUGUCUUUUAUCUACAACUGCAGUUAAAUGUUUUGCCUCACAUAUUCCAUGAAUCUGCCUAUUUCAUUCACCAGAGUAUUGUUUUGUGAUUUCUCAUCUUAUCUUUUAUCUGCAACUGCAGCUAAAUGUUUUGCCUCACAUAUUCCAUGAAUCGGCCUAUUUCUCUCACCAGAGUAUUGUUUUGUGAUUUCUCAUCUUAUCUUUUAUCUACAACUGCAGCUAAAUGUUUUGCCUUACAUAUUCCAUGUAUCUGCCUAUUUCUUUCACCAGAGUAUUUUUGUUUUGUGAUUUCUCAUCUUGUCUUUUUUUUCUACAACUGCAGUUAAAUGUUUUGCCUCACAUAUUCCAUGAAUCUGCCCAUUUCUUUCACCAGAUUAUUGUUCAUCCUGGCUGUCUUUACGACUCCAUAUAAGACGUUUCAAGAUGAAAGAUAUUAUUCCAUCAACUCACUACCCAAUGAUAUGUUUCUUUAAUAGCUGUUUGCAGCCCAAUUUUUACCAUAUUUCGUUCAUGUUAUGGAAUUUUCGAUUCCUUAUCAUCGACAAUGUUUGGUUUAUAUUGCCAUUACCAGAUAUAACUUCUGUUCUUGUGUUCUUUUGAAUGCCUUUUGUUUUAAGUAGGCCCGAUGUUGCAGAAAGACUGCAAUCUCACAAGGAUAUGGUUUCCUAAGGAUAAGACAUAGGUUAGUCACUUUGUUUGACAUAGAAAAAUGUUACAGUGGCAAUAGUAGCAAUCAUAAUAUUCAAUUUACUGUGAAUUGUCAAUUUGGAAACAUGGAAUAAUAAAUUGCCUCAACUUUGGUCGCUAAGCAUUUGUCCUUAGGCAUUGGACUUCGAGUUUGCAGGCAUGAAUAAGGGCUUAUCAGAGCACAAAAUUACUUGAGAGAAAUCUUAGUGCAAAUAUUAUCUUUUUGAAGAUAAUUUUUGCAUAAUAAUUUUUUUUCUUGAUAAAUGAGGAUCGAUGGGAAUAUGAUUUAAUAUGAUAAGCACUCGUUGUUGGUUGUGAAGAACAUGAUUUCUCGGUUAUAGGGUUGGUUUGAAGAAUUGAUUUCUGGAUUGUUCAUACUCAUGCUGUUGCUAUGACAUGCAAACUGUGGAUUCUAUAAAACGAUUGUGUGCAUACUGCAAAUAUUUCAUAGGUAUAAAAAGACACCGAGGGUUUGAAGUAAUUGAAGAUUCAUAUUGCUAGUAUUUGUAUCUUGGCUAUGGAAUGAGUGAUCAUUAUGCGAGUCGAUUUGUGACCUUGUGAUUAAUCCACACAAGUAGAUAAGCAUCAUCGUUCGACAUUUAUUGGUCUCUUUGCCAUUACAAAAGUAUUGAGGAUGAUUGGUUUUGACAAGUUUGCACUAGCUUUGAAGUUUAUAAUACAAGGCAUUAAUGAUUUAUUAUACUUGACUUUUAUUCUUCGAAUUGAGGUAGAAGCUUUUGGUCAGUCAUUUUGGUUGUAUGAUUUCAAUUUUUAUUUGUUGAGUCGUGAAACUUUUUUUAUUUUCUUAUGAUUUAGAAAUUGCUAGUAUUUGUAUAAAAAAUAUUUUUGAAAUUUUGUUUGAAGUAAUUGAAGAUUCAUAUUGCUCGUCUAACAUUGAUGUUUUUUUUAUCUUCUUAUCUUGCAUGACAUCAGAAUUGUAAUAAUAAAAUGACUAUUAUAAAAAUGAGAAAAAUAGGCGAUCUUUGGAAUAAUAUUAAUCUUGUUCUAAGGGUACCCGUAUUUUGACUAUCUUGGGGUAGAACAUGCUUAUUCUUAACUUUGAUGGUAUGUUCAAUCUAAAAUGGUAUGUUGUUGAGGAUAGCCUCAUAAUUCAGUACACCUAAGCUUCUAUAGGAGAUAUGAUUCAUUCUUUUUUCUCUUUUGUAUUCUUUUACAUGAUAGAACAAUGUAUUGUAAUAUCAUAAUCAUGAUGGAAUUUAAUUUUACAUUCUCAGUUUUGUGCUUAAUGGAUCAUCAUAUGGUACUCUGAGUGAGUUUUUCAGUAAAUUGGUUUCAUAUUCAUUUAGCUCUCCUUAUUAGAAUGUAAGUCUUUAUGUCAAUUCCACAAUACAAGGAAAUAUAAGGGGAAAAAAGUAGUAACUAUGACCAUUGAGGGCAAACAAGAUUGAAGGUCUGAUACUUGCUACAACUAGCUUUCUUAUGGUAUGUUGUUUGGCACGUCUUGCUAUGUAUCGAACCCUACACAAGAUUGAAGGUAUGAUGUUGGCGGCUACUAGGUUUUGAAUGUUAUAUUCUUUGGCACCUUUUGCUGUAUACUAUCAUAAGCAUUAUCUAUGAACAUGCAAAAGAGAAUUUUUAUGUUUCCUUGUUUUGCCAUCUUCCUCUGCCUUUUGUAUUAUCUUUUCCCCUUUUUUCCAUUUACAGAUUCAUAGUUUUAAGACUUUGUUGUUUUCAUGCUUUAGGAUGUCUAAGUUAAUAAAUUACUUCAAUUAUUUUUUCAUGUUCUUUCUCAUUUUAUUGCUUAUUUGUGCGUAGUAGUUGAUGCUAUCAUAUCAUAAAAUGCAUGUCGCAUUAACUUUCUUAUACACAUUCAUGAGGGAAACUUUUUUCCCCUUAAUUUUCAAUCUGUAAACUCUUUCUGCUCAUCCAAAAGUUCCUAUAUACACUUCUAAGAUCAUUGACGCUGCCGUUCGAUGGUCCUAAAGUGUUCUUUUCUUUUCAACUACCAAAACUUGAACUCGUAUGCAAGAGGUUUUAGAGGACAAUUUAACGGUAAUCACAGUAUGCUCAUGUGCAUCCCUUUUACAUUAACAAUCAUGCUUGAAAUUUAUCGGCUUUAACGUUACAUUCUUUCUUUCAUGUUGAAUGAAGACCUCAGAUAUCUAAAACUUGUCUUCUUUUAAAAUUUCUUGUCAAAUUGUUUUACAUGUUUAUCGUUCUUUAAUUGAUGAAAGUGAGUUAACUUGAUGUAUGAGACCUAUAUCUACUAAUUAUCUAUCAAUUAGUUUCUCAGGUUUUGUAUUUAUGGUUCAUGUCCAGAAUUAAUCCCAAUAAGGUUCUGAUCAACUAGAAAAUUAUUGUAAAUAAACAACAUACACAAGGGAAAAUGUCCUUGGUUAGUUCAUACAGUAUUGAAAUAAAAAAUUAAAGGACUUCAAAUUAUUCGUUGACCGAACCCUAUACUGGUAGCUAAUGCUAUGCCCUUGUGUUAUUCUUCUGAUGCCGAUAACUUUAGUUAGAUAUCUUCAUCUUAUUUUUGUAUUUAUAAGAAUCUGGUUUUUGUGUGAAACCGAGUUAUGAAAGAUUUAAUUGGGUGGUUGCAUUGGUUAGUUUGCGGAUUGAAGAUAUUCAAAAGUUCCUUUAACUGUGAGGCCGAAGUCCUUCAACUUCAUGAAUUCGCUUCUCUUUUACUACAUCCAAAACCAUAUGGGGUGAUUACUACUUGGAAACUUAUAUUCCAUUUGUUUUUAUUAUCGGUUCGGUUGUCUUGUUUUAGUAAUCAUACAGUGUAGCUCCUUCCAUCCUAAACAAAUUUAUGUAAAGCCGAUGGCGAUAAAUUUCAGCUGUGAGAUAACCUGUAAUGUAUGUGGUAAGUCAUCCGACUUGAUCUUCAUUUUGCAGUUGCUACAGAAGCAAUGAACCAGUACUAGUCCAUUCAAAUACGUUUUACGGUUGUCGGUUUAUGAGAUGCCCUUAUCAAGUUUCGUUAUCUAAGAUGCUGUUGAAUCAAGCUGACUUCAUCUGUUGAAAUAUCAGCUCAGUAUUACUUUUUAGUAUAUUUAACCAGGAUCCAUCACAACUGGACACUUGUUAACUCAACCAAGGUUUACCAAUAGAGUUAGGGCACAGAUCAGUCAUUUCAACCUAAGAAACAGCUUAUGAUGAAGUUGUUGACUUCGAAUCGAAUCUGACUUGUGUGUGUCCUAUAUUUAAUGGUGGUUUACCCAUUACCAUUAGUCUUAGUAUUGACCUGUGGUAAUGAAAUUAACAAGGAACAAGUAAUGUCAAUGGCAAAGUCAUGCAUGCAAGAUGGAAAUUGAUGUUGUCAAUUGAUGACCGGUUGAAGAUUGUGGGGGGGGGGGAGUCUCUUUCAACAACUGGUGCAAAACGAGCAACAACAAUCACAAAGAAAAUACUGAUGGUCGGGCUAUUUUGAUCAGAAAUAGUGAGGAAAUACUUGAAGGAUAUAAUAAUCAGAAUCUUGAGAUCAACAGACGAGAAAAGUCCAACAGCAGUCAUAUUAUGAAGUGUAAUUUGUUUCGCUGAUGAGAAAUCACAUGUUGCUUCAGAUUGUUUUCAUAGAUCAAUUAGAACACUCUGCAAGACAUAAAAGAAGAUAUUUAGGUGUCUCAAUCUUUUGCUGUAUGGAUCUGCCCUCACGCAGUCCCUUGUUUUAUAAGAGUUUGGGGUCCUCCGGCACUAUGCUAGAGUAGUGCAAAACCUUCUCAGAUCGGUAUGGAGAGAAAUCCUGUGUUGAAUCUCGACUUACAAGGGAACAAAAAAAUGUCGAAAGUCUUCUUGAAACUCCUCCCAAGUUAGUAUGAAAUAAAUCAGACUGAUCCAAAGUCCAAACCAUUUUUAAUAGACUUAAUGAUGUUGUUGAUCUCAUCUUAGCCAAAAACUUGACCACCAAGUCUUUGUCUCACGGUAUGCUUGCUUUACUAGGAAAGGAAGUCAAGGAAUCGGCAGAGAUGUCCUAUCAGUACAGAAAUUCUCGUACAAGAAUUUGGUGAAUGGAGUAAGAAUAUGCAAGUGAAAAUGAAAAAUACUCACAAGAAUUUAAAGAAAGUUAUAAUUGUUUUUCCUGGUGAAAUUGAUGUUGAAGAAACAAAGGCAAGACCAGGGUUGAGGUAUGUAUGGAGGCUUCUUCUUUGUUGAUUUUUAGCUGCUAUAUUCUUCGCAUGAUGAUUUGUAAUGUAUCUCGAAACCAAAAUAAAAUGCUGAAAACUAAUCUCAAAAUCUUGAAUGAAUAAAAUGGCAAGACAGUUUCAUCAUAUUCUCUCCAAAAAGUUGAGAGUAAUUAUUGUGGUAUAAUUAAUUCACUACUGAAUCAUUUUGCAUAUUUUGUUUGUUAUAAUGUUGCAGAUUGUUAGAUGGACUUGGUGAAAAAAAUAAAAUAAAAUUAGAGUUGUCUUUCUUUUUAAUAUGCUUGCUAUCUGGUGGAGUCAUAAUUAAAAAAAAUGCAGUGUGUUAUGCCUUUAUUCUAAUGGUGUGUGUUCAAUUUGCAGAAAUAUCUGUUUUAUUUUGAUGAAAGAACAUCACUUGUUUUAUUGAUGUCAUUAUUAUGUCUUCCUAUUCCUUUUCCAUUUCAUCUCUUUUUGGCUUGCUUGUACAAUGAUGUUGCGUUUUGCUGAGAGAAACUAUAGCUAACUAUUAUUGCCAUGGUUGUCUCCGUCAUGUUAGAGGUUUGAAGCCAAUUUGGGUAUAAUUUUAUGAGAGAGAAUGAGAUGGUUUGAUAAAUGCCUAAGUAGGUUGGAAAGCCUUGUGGUUUUCGACGGUCAUCAAUUAUAUAUAUAGAAUCGUCUAGUAUUAUGCUUAUGAUGAGACAUUAUGGUUAAUGCUCAUAUGACUUGUAUAAUUGAGAUAAGAAGUCCGAUCGAGAUGGUAUUAAAGUCGAAAUGAUAUUAAGUUCAAAUUUUAGGAAGAUCCAUGUAAUCAAUUCUAAAUAGUUGAGACUUAAAGACGUUAUUGUAUGAGACACCCGAUCGAGUUAUCAGAUUGAUGGGACAUCUAAUGUGAUAUCAAACUCCGCCAUCAAUAAUCAGGUAACUAAAGAUAAAUCCAUUCAUUAGAUUUGUUAUAUAUUCUUGAAUUUGGUUGGAGUACUUUUCAGUAUUUCCGGAACAACAUGACCUCUUGAAACCACAUAUAUUUUACCUGAGACAGUUUGGAUACGAUAUCUCAAUCCUCAUAUCAAGAAAAAUUGUGGUUCACGAUGUAAUCAAUGUGUCAGUCAAUAUCCAGUUGUAUUAGACUGCUAUUCUCAGCGAGUUCUGUGCUCUCCAUGUAUCCAUCUUACCUGAACACCUGGAAUCCUUUUCAUAUAUAUAGCGGCAGAUUUUAUUGCCUUUAGCUUGUGGGAAUCAGACAAAUCCAAAAGACAUUUGAUGAAUAUGUCAUGAUCAGUCCAGCAUAUAUUCUACACAUUCUACCUGCUCAAUGUAGCAGAAGGAUUCUAUCGACACAGAGAGCCAAUGAUGUUAUUAUUCCUAGCAAGUGGAGUGACAGAGAGCCAUGGGAUUGAUCGUAAGAGAAGCAGGAGUCCAUGUGGAAACUUUACUUGUUCCUUUCACUGGAUAGCCUUUCUUCGACAGGGGCGUGGAAGAUAUCAUCGACUGUCAUGUUGACGGCGCUAAGAGGAAUCGGAGAGGAAGAUUUCAGAUUGAAGUUUGUGAUUUAUGGAGGAGAAGAGAAUGUGUUCAUAGUUUUAAGGGAAGAUGCAGCAGAUUCUGUGCAGGGUUCUGAGCAUAGCAAUUUAUGGUUCUGCCAACAACGUUGUCCAUCCCACUCACUGUUUACUUCAACCUCUCGUUCGUCUUUCUCUCUCUCUCUCUAACAUUCAUAGCACACAAUGUAACCCGCAGGAGGUAUGCUUCCAAACGAAGCAUUCUAUUUGCCUUUUAGUAGCCAUCUUACUCUUGCUACUUUAUGCCACCGUAGCUUGUACACAAAUAGAUGUAUUCCCAAGAGGCAAAGUGGAAAUAAGGUGACUGCCAUCCGAACAACCAAGAAAAUUAUCUCAAACUUCAUUCAAAAAGAAAAAAUGUGUACUGAAUUCAAUAAAAUUUACUUUUGUAGCUCAAUAUCUGUAACAAAAUUAUCCAAAGUCACAUUUUACAGAAAUGUGAGGAUUGCCAACACUGUUGCAGCUGUAUGUUUACAGAAACUUCAAACAAGAAAAAAAAAAAAAAUCCCA
This is a long non-coding RNA of Musa acuminata AAA Group (dessert banana), 8630 nucleotides long. RefSeq lists it as uncharacterized. The transcript is spliced from 2 exons. The record is from RefSeq and is a predicted model, not a curated record. Lineage: Eukaryota; Viridiplantae; Streptophyta; Magnoliopsida; Zingiberales; Musaceae.